UACGUAGGGUGCGAGCGUUAAUCGGAAUUACUGGGCGUAAAGCGCACGUAGGCGGCUUAGCAAGUCGGAUGUGAAAUCCCUCGGCUCAACCAAGGAAGUGCAUCCGAAACUGCUGAGCUUGAGUACUUAAGAGGAUCGCGGAAUUCCCGGUGUAGAGGUGAAAUUCGUAGAUAUCGGGAGGAACACCAGUGGCGAAGGCGGCGAUCUGGGAAGAUACUGACGCUGAGGUGCGAAAGCGUGGGUAGCAAACAGG
Molecule: ribosomal RNA, 253 nt
Filed under: uncultured bacterium
Lineage: Bacteria
Description: partial 16S ribosomal RNA
Rfam family: Bacterial small subunit ribosomal RNA
Source: RNAcentral